AGCGAACGCUGGCGGCAGGCCUAACACAUGCAAGUCGAACGAAGUCUUCGGACUUAGUGGCGGACGGGUGAGCAACACGUGAGAACGUGCCUUUAGGUUCGGAAUAACUCAGGGAAACUUGUGCUAAUACCGAAUGUGCCCUUCGGGGGAAAGAUUUAUCGCCUUUAGAGCGGCCCGCGUCUGAUUAGCUAGUUGGUGAGGUAAAGGCUCACCAAGGCGACGAUCAGUAGCUGGUCUGAGAGGAUGAUCAGCCACAUUGGGACUGAGACACGGCCCAAACUCCUACGGGAGGCAGCAGUAGGGAAUCUUGCGCAAUGGGCGAAAGCCUGACGCAGCCAUGCCGCGUGAAUGAUGAAGGUCUUAGGAUUGUAAAAUUCUUUCACCGGGGACGAUAAUGACGGUACCCGGAGAAGAAGCCCCGGCUAACUUCGUGCCAGCCGCCGCGGUAA
RNAcentral lists this ribosomal RNA (449 nucleotides) under uncultured bacterium. RNAcentral's name for it is "partial 16S ribosomal RNA". It matches the Rfam family "Bacterial small subunit ribosomal RNA", at positions 29 to 523 of the family's 1533-position model. The record is from RNAcentral.